UACAGAGGUCCCAAGCGUUGUUCGGAUUCACUGGGCGUAAAGGGUGCGUAGGUGGUGAGGUAAGUCGGAUGUGAAAUCCCCGGGCUCAACCCGGAAACUGCAUUGGAAACUACCUUGCUUGAGGAUUUGAGGGGGGAUUGGAAUACUUGGUGUAGCAGUGAAAUGCGUAGAUAUCAAGUGGAACACCAGUGGCGAAGGCGAAUCCCUGGAAAAUACCUGACACUGAGGCACGAAAGCUAGGGGAGCAAACAGG
Molecule: ribosomal RNA, 253 nt
Filed under: uncultured bacterium
Lineage: Bacteria
Description: partial 16S ribosomal RNA
Rfam family: Bacterial small subunit ribosomal RNA
Source: RNAcentral